GAGUUUGAUCCUGGCUCAGGAUGAACGCUGGCGGCGUGCCUAACACAUGCAAGUCGAACGGGGCCGCGUAAGGGGAGGGGAAGGCUUGCCUGACCCGAACCGGACGCGGCCUAGUGGCGGACGGGUGAGUAACGCGUGGGCAAUCUGCCCCGUACCGGGGAUAACACCUGGAAACAGGUGCUAACACCGCAUGACAGGCGGGGGCGCAUGCCCCGGCCUUGAAAACUCCGGUGGUACGGGAUGAGCCCGCGUCCGAUUAGCCAGUUGGCGGGGUAACGGCCCACCAAAGCGACGAUCGGUAGCCGGCCUGAGAGGGUGGACGGCCACAUUGGGACUGAGACACGGCCCAAACUCCUACGGGAGGCAGCAGUGGGGAAUAUUGCACAAUGGGGGAAACCCUGAUGCAGCGACGCCGCGUGAGUGAAGAAGCGCCUCGGCGCGUAAAGCUCUGUCAGCAGGAACGAUAAUGACGGUACCUGAAGAAGAAGCCCCGGCUAACUACGUGCCA
Molecule: ribosomal RNA, 508 nt
Filed under: uncultured microorganism
Description: bacterial SSU rRNA
Rfam family: Bacterial small subunit ribosomal RNA
Source: RNAcentral